This is a ribosomal RNA of Sinocyclocheilus grahami, 113 nucleotides long. The record is from Ensembl. NCBI's taxonomy places the organism in Eukaryota, Metazoa, Chordata, Actinopteri, Cypriniformes, Cyprinidae.
AGAAGCGCUCAAGUCACCCUGCAGCCCAAGACUGGUCUUCCACUGAAGCUAAGCAGGGUUGAGCUGAUCAGUACUUGGACGGGAGACCUCCUGGGAAAACUAGGUUGCUGCUG